CGUUAUUUAUGUAUUUUUAUUUUAAUAAGUUAUACAAAAUAUAAUUAAAUUUUUUUUCUGGACGUAAAUUUACCUAUGUUUACGAAAUAUUAAAUAAAAUAUAAAAUUUCUUAAGUAUAUGUAAUACAUAUUUUAUAUAAAAACAAGUGUUUAAUUAAAAAGUUUUUUUGGAACCUACGGUAAAAUGCAAUGUGCUCGAUUACGUGAAGGGAAAUAUUUCUAUGUUGGCCUGAAAAAAACUGAGAGAGAUGAGAUAACGCUGUAAAAAAAGGAAAUGUCUCGACCAUUAGUUUAUCGGAUCGAUCCAAUUGUUCGACAUCAUCGAUUCAUCGAUAAAAGCAUGUGUCCUAUAAUUCGUAUGGAUCUUAAUGGCAUUAAGCUGAGCACAUAGAAGAAAUAGGAUUGAAUUUUAACAUUACUGUAUUCAUAUGCACACAUAAAUUAAUAUGAACAUAGAAAAUCCAUGAUCAAUUAAAAAAAAAGAUCGCGUACACCUAAUAUCAACGAUACUACCGACCAACCAUACAAGCCUUGUCCUCUCACUGUCGGUUCGAUGAGCUUUUGAGUACGGACACGUCAUGUAAACUAGGGCUGUGGAACGGUUGGCAGACAUAAUUCGCAUCGUCCACCGUUUUGACACUACCGUCGCUGACCGCUGUUGGAACGUCAACAAAUAUUCCUCUAUAUACACGCUUGGUGAACUGCGAUGUACAUAUAUUACACAAUUAUAUGUGAGAUAAUAAUAUAUGAUUUAUGAUCCAAUAACAUACUACAUAACAAUCAAUAAUGUUUCAUUGUUCAUCUCAAGUAAUUAAUGAAUCAUGGAGACAAUCGCGG
This is a long non-coding RNA of Aphis gossypii (cotton aphid), 837 nucleotides long. RefSeq lists it as uncharacterized. The transcript has 4 exons. Lineage: Eukaryota; Metazoa; Arthropoda; Insecta; Hemiptera; Aphididae. The record is from RefSeq and is a predicted model, not a curated record.